RNAcentral lists this ribosomal RNA (490 nucleotides) under Aggregatibacter sp. 'ARUP UnID 113'. RNAcentral describes it as "bacterial SSU rRNA". It matches the Rfam family "Bacterial small subunit ribosomal RNA", at positions 27 to 506 of the family's 1533-position model. Lineage: Bacteria; Pseudomonadati; Pseudomonadota; Gammaproteobacteria; Pasteurellales; Pasteurellaceae. The record is from RNAcentral.
GAUUGAACGCUGGCGGCAGGCUUAACACAUGCAAGUCGAACGGUAACAGGAGAAAGCUUGCUUUCUUGCUGACGAGUGGCGGACGGGUGAGUAAUGCUUGGGAAUCUGGCUUAUGGAGGGGGAUAACGACGGGAAACUGUCGCUAAUACCGCGUAGAGUCGAGAGACGAAAGUGCGGGACCGCAAGGCCGCAUGCCAUAGGAUGAGCCCAAGUGGGAUUAGGUAGUUGGUGGGGUAAWGGCCUACCAAGCYGACGAUCUCUAGCUGGUCUGAGAGGAUGACCAGCCACACCGGGACUGAGASACGGCCCGGACUCCUACGGGAGGCAGCAGUGGGGAAUAUUGCGCAAUGGGGGCAACCCUGACGCAGCCAUGCCGCGUGAAUGAAGAAGGCCUUCGGGUUGUAAAGUUCUUUCGGUAUUGAGGAAGGUUGUUGUGUUAAUAGCACGACAAAUUGACGUUAAAUACAGAAGAAGCACCGGCUAACUCCGU